RNAcentral lists this ribosomal RNA (433 nucleotides) under uncultured bacterium. RNAcentral's name for it is "partial 16S ribosomal RNA". It matches the Rfam family "Bacterial small subunit ribosomal RNA", at positions 29 to 507 of the family's 1533-position model. The record is from RNAcentral.
AACGAACGCUGGCGGCAUGCCUAACACAUGCAAGUCGAACGAGACCUUCGGGUCUAGUGGCGCACGGGUGCGUAACGCGUGGGAACCUGCCCUUAUGUUCGGCAUAACUCCCCGAAAGGGGUGCUAAUACCGGAUCAUGUCUUCUGACCAAAGAUUUAUCGCCUUUGGAUGGGCCCGCGUUGGAUUAGCUAGUUGUUAGGGUAAAAGCCUACCAAGGCGACGAUCCAUAGCUGGUCUGAGAGGAUGAUCAGCCACACUGGGACUGAGACACGGCCCAGACUCCUACGGGAGGCAGCAGUGGGGAAUAUUGGACAAUGGGCGAAAGCAUGAGCCAGCAAUGCCGCGUGAGUGAUGAAGGCAUUAGGGUUGUAAAGCUCUUUUAACCGGGAUGAUAAUGACAGUACCGGGAGAAUAAGCUCCGGCUAACUCCGUG